Molecule: long non-coding RNA, 411 nt
Filed under: Setaria viridis
Lineage: Eukaryota; Viridiplantae; Streptophyta; Magnoliopsida; Poales; Poaceae
Description: long non-coding RNA (SVIR_LNC001278)
Source: RNAcentral
ACAAACCCUAUUAUGCCUUUGGUUGGGCUUUUGGAAGCUGCUUUUGCUUCUCAAAAACCAAAAGCCAACCAAAAAGGCUACCAACCCAUAAAUGUUUUGGGCAAAAGCAGAUUCCUCCCCACUACAAAACCCACAGCCGCUCGACCCCUGCUUCCUCCGGCUGUGAAAUGGUAAUUUCUAAGAAAUUACCUACCUCCCACUAGUUAUGAACGUACUCGUUCGUUCUUUUCCUCUCGGUCUUCCCUCUCCUACCUGACAGAACUGAGGCACGACGCGGCUAGGGUUCCGCCAUCACCGGCGGCGCCCCGCAGCCCCCUCUGGCGCCCCCCUAAAACGAGCUCCGGUAGUGUUGACGCUCGUUAUUGACACACUUUUACCCCUGUUUAUCUUCAAUAAUGACAUGAAUUUAAC